Long non-coding RNA from Eptesicus fuscus (big brown bat), 829 nucleotides. RefSeq lists it as uncharacterized. Lineage: Eukaryota; Metazoa; Chordata; Mammalia; Chiroptera; Vespertilionidae. The transcript is spliced from 4 exons. The record is from RefSeq and is a predicted model, not a curated record.
CCAUCCAGCCACCACCUCAGGGAAGGGAGUGUCGGGAGGCUGCUAAUUGGAUUGGAACACUCCAGAAACACAUCAGCUGCUCCUCCCUGGGGGAAAGGGCAGCCUCGCCCUGACCUGGUCCUCACCAGCCUCCACCCAGCGCCUUCCUAGGGCGCAAUAGGGUAGGCUCACGGUGGCGUGGAGCAGGCGGACGUUGAUCAGAUAAUUACCCAAAUGAAAUUCAGCCAUGAGUGGAUUCUGUUGUUUGCAACUAAGAACUCUGAUACAGAUGGAUAGAUGGAUGGAUGGACGGACAGAUGGGUUGAAAGUGAAAACAAGUUGCUUGUAUAUUAUAAAGUAUGGAAACCCAGACCUAGAAGAGCUCACAGCCCAGUGGGAGAUCAGAACAGGGAAGACAGAGGCCAACUCUGAGCACUGAGGGUUCUCAGUAUGAGCGCGGGGGGCCCUGGCCCUGGACUCAGAGCCACAGUCUCACCAGCAAGAAGCCUUCCUUCUCUUUCGCUCCCUCCCCCGAGCCCCACACCCACGCUGUGCCCACCACUCAGAAAGCAUGUGCGUGGCUCAUCCUGCCUUGUGACAUUGUUCCUGUCCUUACCCAACAAUCCUGUUUACCUUGAGCAAGGAUGACACACAUGUCUGUGACUCAUCCCGUAUUGUUCUGCCCCCUCCCAGCCCUGACUUCCAGCGGCACCAACUGUCCCCUUGGCCGGCCAGCGCCGCAGCCUUGCUCUGCAGCUCCGUUCACGUGGCACGUGCCAUCGCCUGCAGAGACCGCCCGCUCCCCGGGGGCUGGGAAGGCUACCUUCGUGCAUUUUGCAAACCCCGUUCC